Molecule: non-coding RNA, 30 nt
Filed under: Homo sapiens (human)
Lineage: Eukaryota; Metazoa; Chordata; Mammalia; Primates; Hominidae
Source: RNAcentral
UGAGACAUAUCAGCCAAUACCCUGAAGUCU